RNAcentral lists this microRNA precursor (61 nucleotides) under Eisenia fetida (common brandling worm). RNAcentral's name for it is "Efe-Mir-87-o14_pre stem-loop". Lineage: Eukaryota; Metazoa; Annelida; Clitellata; Crassiclitellata; Lumbricidae. The record is from RNAcentral.
GCACUUGAAAUCUUGUCUCAGGCCUCGGAUUCGACUCAGGUGAGCAAAACUUCAGGUGCAU